GUUUGUGUUCAUUUGCUUAACCAACAUUUUUUGAGCACUGCAAGUGUCAGGCCCUGGGUUGGUGCUGAGAUCAUCUCUCGCCCUCUGGAGUUCACAGAAGGCAGUCAACAGCAAAUACAUAGCUGCAAACACAGACGACAGGCUCUCUGCUAGGGAUACGCAGCCUGGUUGGAACAUCUCCAGCACCGAGCACGGUGCCUGGGACACAGCGGGUGGUGGAAUCAGCUCUGAUCACCUUCAACUCUGAGUUGUGAGCCACGGGCAAUCCUAAAAUAGUAGUUUACACAAGUAAACAGUUUGUUUUCUCCUCCUGUGGUAGGCUGAAUAAUGGCCCUCAAAGUUGUCCUUGUCCUGAUUUUUGUAACCUGGGAAUAUGAUUCCUUAUAUGGCAAAAUGGACUUUACAGAUUAAACUAAGGCUCUUGAAAUGAGAGGAUUGUCUUAGAUUAUCCUCAUGCCCCUGAUGCAUCCUGAUUGUCCUGAUGCUCUCACAAGGGUCCUUAAAAGAAGGAUGCAGCAGGAGCCAGAGAGGAUAAGAGAUACAAUGAUGAAACCAGAGAUCGGAGGAAUGCACUCUGAAGAUAAAGGGAGAGGCCACAAGCUCCGGCACAAACGUGGCCACUAGAAAUCAAAAAAGUCAAAGAAAACGAUUCUUCUCUCAGAGGAAACAGAAGGAACCAGCUCUGCCCACACCUUGGUUUAACCCCAAAAAACUGAUUUUGCACUUCUGACCUCUAGAGCUGGGAGAGAUAAAUAUAUGUUGUUUUAAGCCACUAAGUUUGUGGUCAUUUGUUGCAGCAGCAGUAGGAAAUGAAGGCACCCGCCUAACACAAUAUCCAGAAGUAGGUGGCAGGAGGAAAGUGCAGCUGCUUGAGCAAGUUAUCCAGGAUCCAGCUCUUCCAGAUUCCUGCGGCACCAUCCUCCCCACGUGGCAUUCUUCCUCAUGAUUAUAAGAAUGCAGAUGUGAUGGUUGGAGCUCCAGCUGUUACAUUGGACUAUGAAGACCAGGGUCACCCCCUCUGGAUGGGAGAGUGUGAAGUUGGAAGAAGCUCAGGUCCCUGAGGAUUUUGUGGAGUAGAUCCAUAUCAGCGCAUACAGGCUACCUGCAGACAUUAAUUUUAUAUUGUGCUCCUGGAAGCUGAGACCAGUUCAAAUGGCUGCAAUCUUUCUGUCUACUGUGUAGAGAACAAAUAUUGGAGGGACAGGAGUGAAAACAGGAAUAAUCUCUAUUUUGUAAAUAGGAACCCUGAGGCCUGAAGAAGUUGAAUGAAGUAUAUUAGGGUUGCAGGUAAAAGCACUGGCUUAGUAAACCUGUCUGUAUUUAAAUCCUGCCUCCAAUACUUUCUAACCUUGUAACCUUGGGCAAUUUCUUAGCCUCUGUAAGCCUGAUUUCCUCAUCUGCGAUGAUAACAAUGCCUAUCUCAGACUAGGAUUGUGCUAUUAAAUAAAAUAAACCAUGAAAAGACCUAACACAGCCUGGUGGGGUUCACAUUUCUCACUUGCUGGUUCCCUGCUCCUCCUUCGUGUCUUCACCAGACCCUUUCCCACCUCUUGCAUCAGCUUAGGAAAUGGUGAUCCUUCCAAGUGGGGUGAACAACACACUCAAGAGGAAAUCCUUUUGUUAGGAAGGAAGGGCAAAAAGAGGGAGAGAAGGGAGAAAGAAGGAAGCCUUAGCACUUGAAUGGACGUGAUGAACUUUCAAGUACCCAGAAAUUCCAGCUCACAAGAGACAAAUGUCACUAGUGAGCCUGGCGUACUGAAGGAUCUAAGAAAAGAAGGCCAGAAGUUCAUCCUUCAGCCUCCAAGCUGUUCCAUUGCCAAUCCCCUUCUUUUUUUCUCCGCGUCUCUAUCACCUCUUCUCUUUCCUCUUCCAAAACAAAAAUAGGAAGUGUGAAAAGCUCAGUAAGUCAUCUGGUUUUCAGGCUGCUUUUCCUUGGAGUGGCUAAAACUGUGUUUUAUUGGCUUGGCAGGAUGUUUUGAGAUUGUGUGGCGAGGACUCUUCUGUGUGUGUGCCCAUGUGUACGUAUGUGUGUCUGCCUGUGUGUGAGUGUGUCCGCACGCAUGUGCUUGUUUAUCUAAGUACUGGGCUUUGGAAUGCAAAGCAGCACAUACAUGUUUCCUUUGUGGUAGCAGAUUCUCUUCCUAAUUAUGUUUUGCUCAGACUAAUAUUAAAAUGAAUUGGUUUCCUCUGACAACAAUAAGUGUAAUCAUAACAGGAAAUGGUCCGGAAUCACACAGUAACAAAAAUAGAGCCAGAGAGGAAGCAACAAGACUCUUGAGAACAUUUGGCUGAUCUACUUUUCCAUUCCAUUUCGUCCAUGUAGUCAUCCCUUCAUUGAUUCAGAAAACUCUGCUUAUCACUGGUGAGACAAAUGGGAAGCCUGAAAAAAAUUCAACUUCUUCUCUUAAUUAGAAAUUUGUGAACCACUAAAUACAAAAGUUAGAAAAAAAAUGCAUGUCAGCUUCUGUAUAAAGAUUGGCCUGUAUUUUACCCAAUACCACUCUUUUGUAAGAAGGCUUAAGUCAUUAACUAUCUUACACAUCAAAGAAUCUGAUAAGUUCUGCAGUAAAA
Long non-coding RNA from Sapajus apella (tufted capuchin), 2571 nucleotides. RefSeq lists it as uncharacterized. Lineage: Eukaryota; Metazoa; Chordata; Mammalia; Primates; Cebidae. The transcript has 2 exons. The record is from RefSeq and is a predicted model, not a curated record.